AAGUAGAGAAGUAAAUAAUACAAUUAGCUUCGACCUAAAUAUUUAAGAACAAGUUUCUUCCUACUUA
RNAcentral lists this transfer RNA (67 nucleotides) under Phymatostetha huangshanensis (nomen nudum). RNAcentral describes it as "tRNA-Arg". Lineage: Eukaryota; Metazoa; Arthropoda; Insecta; Hemiptera; Cercopidae. The record is from RNAcentral.